UACGGAGGGGACUAGCGUUGUUCGGAAUUACUGGGCGUAAAGCGCACGUAGGCGGAUUUGUAAGUCAGGGGUGAAAUCCCGGGGCUCAACCUCGGAACUGCCUUUGAUACUGCAAAUCUCGAGUCCGGAAGGGGUGAGUGGAAUUCCUAGUGUAGAGGUGAAAUUCGUAGAUAUUAGGAAGAACACCAGUGGCGAAGGCGGCUCACUGGUCCGGUACUGACGCUGAGGUGCGAAAGCGUGGGGAGCAAACAGG
Molecule: ribosomal RNA, 253 nt
Filed under: uncultured bacterium
Lineage: Bacteria
Description: partial 16S ribosomal RNA
Rfam family: Bacterial small subunit ribosomal RNA
Source: RNAcentral